Molecule: ribosomal RNA, 1199 nt
Filed under: metagenome
Description: SSU rRNA
Rfam family: Eukaryotic small subunit ribosomal RNA
Source: RNAcentral
AAUCAAGUGGAGGACAAGUCUGGUGCCAGCACCCGCGGUAAUUCCAGCUCCACUAGCGUAUAUUAAAGUUGUUGCAGUUAAAAAGCUCGUAGUUGAACCUCUGUCUGGGGCUAGUUUUGGCUUUGGUCAGGCUAGUUCUAGGCAUCCGCCUACAAGACUUAGAGGGCAUUCAGUUGUUCACUAGGAGGAGUAGGCAUUUUACUUUGAAAAAAUUAGAGUGUUUAAGGCAGGCAAUCGCCCGCAUAUAUUAGCAUGGAAUAAUAGAAUAGGACACUUUUCCAUUUCGUUGGUUAUUGGAAUCGUGUAAUGAUUAAUAGGGACAGUUGUGGGCAUUUGUAUUUAAUUGUCAGAGGUGAAAUUCUUGGAUUUAUUAAAGACAAACUAACGCGAAAGCAUUUGCCAAGGAUGUUUUCAUUAAUCAAGAACGAAAGUUAGGGGAUCAAAGACGAUCAGAUACCGUCCUAGUCUUAACUAUAAACUAUUCCGACUCAAUGUUUGACUGGCUUAUAUAACCAGUUGAGCGUUGUAUGAGAAAUCAAAGUCUUUAGGUUCUGGGGGGAGUAUGGUUGCAAAGCUGAAACUUAAAGGAAUUGACGGAAGAGCACAACCAGGAGUGGAUUCUGCGGCUUAAUUUGACUCAACACGGGGAAACUUACCAGGUUAAAACAAUAGUGGGAUUGACAGUUUGAGAGCACUUUCUUGAUUGGUUGGGUGGUGGUGCAUGGCCGUUCUUAGUUGGUGGAGUGAUUUGUCUGCUUAAUUGCGUUAACGAACGAGACCUUAACCUGCUUACUAGACUGGCGAUCAUCAAUCGUUAGCUCUUCUCAGAGGGACUUUGGUUGUUUUAACUCCAAGGAAGUUUGAGGCAAUAACAGGUCUGUGAUGCCCUUAGAUAUCCUGGGCCGCACGCGUCAUACAAUGACUAGUUCAGAAAGUUUUCUCCUGACCCGAAAGGGGAUGGGUAAUCUUGAUAAUACUAGUCGUGUUAGGGAUCGAUCUUUGCAAUUAUAGAUCUUGAACGAGGAAUUCCUAGUAAGUGCGGUUCAUCAGACCGUACUGAUUACGUCCCUGCUCUUUGUACACACCGUCCGUCGCUUCUACCGAGUGGGAGGUCCGGUGAGAUAAUUGAACUUCGCAGGUAACUGAGAGGAAAGAUUAUCAAACCUAUCCACCUCGAGGAAGAAGAAGUCGUAACAAGG